GACGAACGCUGGCGGCGUGCCUAAUACAUGCAAGUAGAACGCACAGUUUAUACCGUAGCUUGCUACACCAUAAACUGUGAGUUGCGAACGGGUGAGUAACGCGUAGGUAACCUGCCUGGUAGCGGGGGAUAACUAUUGGAAACGAUAGCUAAUACCGCAUAAUAUUGAUUAUUGCAUGAUAAUUGAUUGAAAGAUGCUAUUGCAUCACUACCAGAUGGACCUGCGUUGUAUUAGCUAGUAGGUGAGGUAACGGCUCACCUAGGCGACGAUACAUAGCCGACCUGGGAGGGUGAUCGGCCACACUGGGACUGAGACCCGGCCCAGACUCCUACGGGAGGCAGCAGUAGGGAAUCUUCGGCAAUGGACGAAAGUCUGACCGAGCAACGCCGCGGGAGUGAAGAAGGUUUUCGGAUCGGAAAGCUCUGUUGUAAGAGAAGAACGGGUGUGAGAGUGGAAAGUUCACACUGUGACGGUAUCUUACCAGAAAGGGACGGCUAACUACGUG
RNAcentral lists this ribosomal RNA (505 nucleotides) under uncultured bacterium. Its description in RNAcentral is "partial 16S ribosomal RNA". It matches the Rfam family "Bacterial small subunit ribosomal RNA", at positions 28 to 507 of the family's 1533-position model. The record is from RNAcentral.